CCCUGUGAGUUACUAACUUUG
This 21-nucleotide non-coding RNA is filed under the name Arabidopsis thaliana (thale cress). The record is from RNAcentral. Lineage: Eukaryota; Viridiplantae; Streptophyta; Magnoliopsida; Brassicales; Brassicaceae.